This is a small nucleolar RNA of Talpa occidentalis (Iberian mole), 71 nucleotides long. RefSeq annotates it as small nucleolar RNA SNORD2. The record is from RefSeq and is a predicted model, not a curated record. Lineage: Eukaryota; Metazoa; Chordata; Mammalia; Eulipotyphla; Talpidae. The transcript has a single exon.
ACGUGAAAUGAUGACAAUCAUCUUUUGGAACUGACCCAGAAGUGAAGAAAACACUCAUUUUCUGGUCACUU